UGAAAUCUGCAGGAAUAGAGAGUGGAGCAGUGUUCUUCACUUGCAUUCCACCUGGUCCUGGGCUCAGUGGCUCCACAAAGACAAGCAGAUUUGUACACAAGGAUUACAAACACUCCUCAGUGGCUACAAAAAAACACUCCAAAGAAGGGACCUACUUUACUCAGUUGCUGACAGCCACAGGGGUGGACUCGGGAGAACUGUGGCUGAAAACUGCUCUCUGACCAUCCUGGGGUGACUUCGUUAUUGAAGCAAUGACUUCGGUGUUGUGAGCUCAGAAGAUGAUGUGAAAGCCUGGCUUUGGCAAGCAAGACAGCUUGACUUGUAUCUUGGUAAAGCAGGACCCUCUUAAAUCUUUCUGCCUUUGCCCAAGGGUUCAGGUUUAUGUGUGUACUGCAUUAAUUAAAAGUUGGUUAGGAAACAAGACGGACACGGUGCAACACCAUUGCUUGUAUCACACUUUAUGCCAUGUGAGAGCUGACAACAAUCUAUUGGCAAAACCAAGAUGGGAAGGGACAAAUAAAGGUGCAGAAAUGAUGUUUCCAGUGUGAGGAAGAGGCAGCAUCUCUUGAUCUCUGAAUGUAGCGAGUAUUC
Corapipo altera (White-ruffed manakin) is the source of this 591-nucleotide long non-coding RNA. RefSeq lists it as uncharacterized. The transcript has 4 exons. NCBI's taxonomy places the organism in Eukaryota, Metazoa, Chordata, Aves, Passeriformes, Pipridae. The record is from RefSeq and is a predicted model, not a curated record.